Molecule: ribosomal RNA, 77 nt
Organism: Ursus americanus (American black bear)
Lineage: Eukaryota; Metazoa; Chordata; Mammalia; Carnivora; Ursidae
Source: Ensembl
GUCUACGGCCAUACCACCCUGAACGUGCCCGAUCUCAUCUGAUCUCGGAAAAACUGUGGCCCCAGAAGCUUUAGCUA